Molecule: unclassified non-coding RNA, 267 nt
Filed under: Hevea brasiliensis (rubber tree)
Lineage: Eukaryota; Viridiplantae; Streptophyta; Magnoliopsida; Malpighiales; Euphorbiaceae
Source: RNAcentral
CUAUUUUAGUGAGUGUGAGCACUCCAGAUAUUGUAUAUGGGAGCACCUUUAAAACUGAAUUGCUGUACUGCAUUACACCUGGCCCUGAGCUGCCUUCGGGAGAACAAACUUCACAUUUGGUAAUAUCCUGGAGAAUGAAUUUUUUGCAGAGCACCAUGAUGAAAGGGAUGAUAGAAAAUGGAGCAAAACAAGGUCUAAAAGAUAGCUUCGAACAGUUUGCGUCUUUAUUGUCUCAAAAUGUUAAGCCAGUUGAUUUGAAGGAGACAG